GUGCUUGCUUCAUCAGCACACACAAUAAAAUUGAAAGAAAAUGGAGGUUAGCAUGGUCCUUGCUCUCAAGGAUGGUAUGGAAAUUUAUGAAGCAUCCAUAUUUUGU
This 106-nucleotide small nuclear RNA is filed under the name Microcebus murinus (gray mouse lemur). The record is from RNAcentral. Lineage: Eukaryota; Metazoa; Chordata; Mammalia; Primates; Cheirogaleidae.